Molecule: long non-coding RNA, 3260 nt
Filed under: Nicotiana benthamiana
Lineage: Eukaryota; Viridiplantae; Streptophyta; Magnoliopsida; Solanales; Solanaceae
Description: long non-coding RNA (NBEN_LNC025977)
Source: RNAcentral
AAAUCAAAUAAUAAAGCAUAGGUACUCCCACAAAAGUAACGUAAAUAGUUAUGAAAACAUAAGCAACAUAAAUACAGUCGCAUGCAGUAAUAUCAAACAGGAACUACCAUACUAAAACACUAAUCACCUAUGAGCCCGUAACCUACAAUCUUGAUUCUAGACCUCCAGACUCCCCUAUCAAGAGUCAUGUCCUCGGUAACCUGCAUUCUGGGCAAAAUGAAAAAUGAAAAUCAACAAAAUAUACUUUCAACAAAAGGAAAAAAAAAAUAGUUUAGGUAAAAUCCUUAAAAUAGAAAAUUUAUAAUCAUCUAACUUAUCAAAUUUAGAGAAAAAUACAAUAUAGUGCAUUAUAGUAGACUAUAUAGUAACGACAUUCUCUUCUCUUCUCUCUCUGCAAUUCAUUAUCAUUUUUUUACUAUGUGUAAACUUUUCGAUGGGCACAAAGCAUAUAAUUCAACUGAUAUAAGAGAAAUCUCGCGACGUAGAAAAGGAUAAUAUUAUUUACAACAACAACAACCUAGUAUAAUUUCACUUAAUGGGAUCUGGGGAGGAUAGUGUGUACGCAGACCUUACCCCUACCCUGGGGUAGAGAGGCUGUUUCCAANNNNNNNNNNNNNNNNNNNNNNNNNNNNNNNNNNNNNNNNNNNNNNNNNNNNNNNNNNNNNNNNNNNNNNNNNNNNNNNNNNNNNNNNNNNNNNNNNNNNNNNNNNNNNNNNNNNNNNNNNNNNNNNNNNNNNCUUUCCCUCCAAGAACUUCCCACAUUGCUCUUGGGGAGACUCGAACUCACAACCUCUCGAUUAAAAGUGUGGGUUGCUUACCAUCAGAGCAACCCCUCUUGUCGAUAAUAUUAUUUCAUAUCUCAAGGAAACCUAAAAUUAAUACUGUAUUAGCUAGGUUUAUCACCAUAACAUCGUAAGUCAAUGAAGAGGUAAAAGAUUCUUAAAUUAUAACAAAUAAUUAAUGUAUGUAGUAAAGUAGAACAACUAUGUACCACUCCUAUGUAAAAAUGGAACAAAAUUGGUUAGCUCUAUGCAAAUGCGUGGCUAUGCACAUAAAAAAUAAAUAGAAGAGCCAAGUCUUAUGCAUUCCUCUAACUGUUGUGAAAUUGAAUCAAUGUAAAAUCAGAUUUUUCCAAACCAAUUAGAGUUUUUAUGUAAGUUCCCUCUUCAAACACAAUUGUGACCAAAAACUCAUAAAUUUAUAAAAUUAAAACUUUUAAUAAUAUCAAAGUGUAAAAAAUACUACUAACACAAGAAACGUACAAGGAAAAGUAUAUCGGUAUACAGGAAGAACCAUGGAAAUGGUUAACUCAUCCAUUACUCAAGGUUGACAUUGAUUAAAGGCAGAAUGCAUAACUUGACCUUUGAACUUGGUUUUUUUUUUGUCACUUAAUAUUUAAAUAUAAAGUUAUUUCUAUUAGGUUCUUCAACUAAACUACCUCAGUGUCAAUUAGACACUAUGUAAACAAUCUGGGAAAAACUAUAUAAAAUUAAGCGUGUGCAUUACAGUUGCAUCUAACACCUUAAAAUAACCCCCAAAACAAAUUAAAACUCAUUUUCAGAAGAUGAAAAACCUGACCAUUGGCUUUGGAGACUUAGUGCCUUAAAAAAGCUCACUGAAAAUUUCCUUCGUUCAACUUACUGAAAUAUCACGCUAUUCUCUCUAUUCCUCGUCUAAGUUGGUGUAGCUUACAAGUGCCGUGUAAAGAGAACAAGCAUGCCAAAUGAAAAUAGUCAAAUUCAUUUACACUAAACUUUCCUUUAAAAAAAUUAAGAAGAAAAAUGAUGGGUUCACGGGAGGAAGAAGAGAAAUUAAAGGUAGGGUAAAAGUUAGCUUUAACUAGAAUAAUAUAUUAGAAUAUAAUAAUAAUAUAAUAAUAAUAUAAUAAUAAUCAACAACCUUUUUCUCAUGUUCACGCGCCCUUCUCCACGCACUCAAUCAUGUUACUAUAAAGUGUCUAAUUGGUACAAAUGUAGUUUAGUUGAAGAUGUGGUUUAGUUGAAGGGCUUGAUAGGAACAAUUCUAUGUUUAGGUGUCCAAGUGACAAAAAUGUCAAGUUUAAAGAUCCAGUUAAUAAUAUAAGUAAUAAUCAACAACUUUUUUCUCAUAUUCCCACGCACUCAAUCAUGUCACCACAAAAUGUCUAAUUGACACAUAUAUGAUUUAGUUGAAAGACUUGAUAGAAACAACUCUAUAUUUAGGUAUCCAAGUGACAAAAAGAUCAAAUUUAAAAGCCCGUUUAUGAAUUUUACCUCGAUUAAAACCUCAUUUUUGCCAAGCCCAUAGAAACCAUUACAUAAGAGGAUGACACUGAUUAAAACCACACAUGUUUUGCCAAAGCCAUAUGCUCAUCAAAAAUUACUUGAACACAAAAAAUACACACCAAAUGACCCUCUGCAUGUAUCAACAUUAAAAGUAAGAAACAAUAUCAAAACUUUCAACAACAACUUGGCCUAAGUCCUCAUUCUUGUAAACCAUCCCUACAGAUACCAAUGAAAGCGGAACAAAGAAAGUAAUAAUAUUCUAAUUUCACAUGACUUCCCAGUGUCUAAGAAUCCAGAUAUUUGAAUGUGGCAAAGAACAUUAUUUUUAAUAAUAAGUUGUUGCUCUAAUACUAAGAAGCAAUCUAUAUAGUUGAAGGGAUAUGCCUAUUUUCACAUUGAAUGAGAUUUUCAGGAGUCAUGUACUCAGAUAAGUUAGAGAAAUAGUGGUCAGUUUUGAGCAGUAAGUGGUGGAAAUCAAGCAUUGAAAUGGAAUUCACCUUUCUCAGGCUGCCAAAACACACACAUAUAUAUAUUAAAAGAAAAAUUCUACGCACAGUUGCAGAAGAAGAAUGAGUGCUAAACACCAUAUCAUAACAAAAUAAAGAUAAUACAAAGAGAUAAACCAGAGCAAUUUAUCUGUAAAUCGGCUGCAACCAAUGUGUCAAAUCCUCCUUAAAAUUUACAUCAAAUAGAAAAUCUCUAUGGUAAUCCAUCACUCAAUUUAUAGAAAAGGCGGGACGUAGGACCCAAUAAAUCGACUAAAUAGAUUUGUACAGCUUUACGGAAUUACCUAUAAGUAACCAGAGUUUGCUGUAUCCGUGGAGAAACGAUUGCUCUUGAAGACUUGAACGAUGAGCACGACUGUAGACGGAAAAUAUCUUCUGGCGUUGAUUUACGGUGAUUUAUCUGAAUGGACAGUCCAGAUUAAUUGGAGAAGCAGAGAUUACGAAGAUGCUUCACGUAUUAGAUGGAGAUAUAGGCACCAAGGAAUCAAUG